Non-coding RNA from Chelonoidis abingdonii (Abingdon island giant tortoise), 120 nucleotides. Lineage: Eukaryota; Metazoa; Chordata; Testudines; Testudinidae. The record is from RefSeq and is a predicted model, not a curated record.
UCCUGCUAGUGAAGGCAGGGGGUUGGACUUGAUAACCUUUCAAGAUCCCUUCCAGUUCUAGGAGAUUGGUAUAUCACCAAUUAUUACCUUUAGGCAGUAUGCAAGGGAGGAAAGGAGCAG